Non-coding RNA from Actinophytocola xinjiangensis, 69 nucleotides. It matches the Rfam family "ASpks TB sRNA". NCBI's taxonomy places the organism in Bacteria, Bacillati, Actinomycetota, Actinomycetes, Pseudonocardiales, Pseudonocardiaceae. The record is from Rfam.
CUUCACCGAACCCACCAGCAGCGGCGUCUCGCGGUCCUGCCCGUAGGUGGCGAGCAGGGCCUGUGCCUC